Molecule: long non-coding RNA, 558 nt
Organism: Schistocerca americana (American grasshopper)
Lineage: Eukaryota; Metazoa; Arthropoda; Insecta; Orthoptera; Acrididae
Exons: 2
Source: RefSeq, a predicted model, not a curated record
AGAUUGGUGGUGUUUACCGCAAUUUUGGGGAAAAUAUUUUUCUUUUGGGAAUGUAUGGAGAAACAAAAAUCUCUGGGAAAUUUUUCCGGAAGAAUAUUUCUGUAUCAGGGAGACUGGGAAGUAUUUUAUCUGCCUAGUCACGGCCGCCUGUAUUAGAGGCCGGAGGACUGAAAUGUGGCAACGUUACGUUAGGGCCUACCGCAUGGCUGUGGCUAUAAGGUAGCGAACGGAAGCAGUUGUUUACGUACUUUCGCGGUGUCUCUUUUAUCCGACAUUACAGUGUAAUUAUGCUAUACUGGACCCUGCAAAAAUUAUAGAAAGUAGUCGUGACUACAGUCGAAGAUAUAACACAAUAUGCCAGAAAAAUGUGUUCCUGGUUGCAACAGCAACUACAAAUCCAGCAAGGAAGAGGGUUUCAUCUCAGUGUUCAAAUUCCCUACUGAUUCCCUAACAGAUUCAUGUCUCUGUAACAUAUUGUUAAAUAAUUAUACCAAAAUCCAAAAUGAUCAUUUAAUAUGUUCCAAGAAGGAGGGAGUUAAUAGAAAAUUAAAAACAUUA